Molecule: ribosomal RNA, 882 nt
Filed under: uncultured fungus
Lineage: Eukaryota; Fungi
Description: eukaryotic LSU rRNA
Rfam family: 5.8S ribosomal RNA (bases 433-586)
Source: RNAcentral
UUCUUGGUCAUUUAGAGGAAGUAAAAGUCGUAACAAGGUUUCCGUAGGUGAACCUGCGGAAGGAUCAUUAAAGAAAUUUAAUAAUUUUGAAAAUGGAUUUUUUUGUUUUGGCAAGAGCAUGGGAGCUUUUACUGGGCAAGAAGACAAGAGAUGGAGAGUCCAGCCGGGCCUGCGCUUAAGUGCGCGGUCUUGCUAGGCUUGUAAGUUUCUUUCUUGCUAUUCCAAACGGUGAGAGAUUUCUGUGCUUUUGUUAUAGGACAAUUAAAACCGUUUCAAUACAACACACUGUGGAGUUUUCAUAUCUUUGCAACUUUUUCUUUGGGCAUUCGAGCAAUCGGGGCCCAGAGGUAACAAACACAAACAAUUUUAUCUAUUCAUUAAAUUUUUGUCAAAAACAAGAAUUUUCGUAACUGGAAAUUUUAAAAUAUUAAAAACUUUCAACAACGGAUCUCUUGGUUCUCGCAUCGAUGAAGAACGCAGCGAAAUGCGAUACGUAAUGUGAAUUGCAGAAUUCCGUGAAUCAUCGAAUCUUUGAACGCACAUUGCGCCCCUUGGUAUUCCAGGGGGCAUGCCUGUUUGAGCGUCAUUUCCUUCUCAAACAUUCUGUUUGGUAGUGAGUGAUACUCUUUGGAGUUAACUUGAAAUUGCUGGCCUUUUCAUUGGAUGUUUUUUUUCCAAAGAGAGGUUUCUCUGCGUGCUUGAGGUAUAAUGCAAGUACGGUCGUUUUAGGUUUUACCAACUGCGGCUAAUCUUUUUUUAUACUGAGCGUAUUGGAACGUUAUCGAUAAGAAGAGAGCGUCUAGGCGAACAACGUUCUUAAAGUUUGACCUCAAAUCAGGUAGGAGUACCCGCUGAACUUAAGCAUAUCAAUAAGCGGAGGAA